CGGGGGGACUCCUACGGGAGGCAGCAGUGGGGAAUAUUGCACAAUGGGCGCAAGCCUGAUGCAGCCAUGCCGCGUGUAUGAAGAAGGCCUUCGGGUUGUAAAGUACUUUCAGCGGGGAGGAAGGGAGUAAAGUUAAUACCUUUGCUCAUUGACGUUACCCGCAGAAGAAGCACCGGCUAACUCCGUGCCAGCAGCCGCGGUAA
RNAcentral lists this ribosomal RNA (203 nucleotides) under uncultured Escherichia sp. RNAcentral's name for it is "partial 16S ribosomal RNA". It matches the Rfam family "Bacterial small subunit ribosomal RNA", at positions 328 to 523 of the family's 1533-position model. The record is from RNAcentral. Lineage: Bacteria; Pseudomonadati; Pseudomonadota; Gammaproteobacteria; Enterobacterales; Enterobacteriaceae.